RNAcentral lists this ribosomal RNA (468 nucleotides) under uncultured bacterium. Its description in RNAcentral is "partial 16S ribosomal RNA". It matches the Rfam family "Bacterial small subunit ribosomal RNA", at positions 28 to 507 of the family's 1533-position model. The record is from RNAcentral.
GACGAACGCUGGCGGCGUGCUUAACACAUUCCAGUCGAACUGAAAUGCCCUUCUUUUUUGGGGUGCUCUAGCUGCGAACGUUUUAGUAACACUUUAGUAACCUGCCCUUUACUUUUUUAUAACUUCAGUAAACUGGGGCUAAUACCUGAUAGUAGCUCCUGCUGCAUGGUGUGUGUUGGAAAGUUUCGGCGGUUGGGGAUGGACUCGCGGAUUAUCAGCUUGUUGGUGGGGUAGUGGCUUACCAAGGCUUUGACGGGUAGCCGGAAUGAGAGGGUGACCGGCAAAAUUGGGAAAGAGAUAAGGACCAGAAGAAAAAGGGAGGCAGAAGGGGGGAAGAUUGAAAAAUGGGCGGAAGACUGAUGCAGCAACGAAGCGUGAGGGAUGAAGGACUUCGGGUUGUAAAACGAUUUCGCCUGUGAAGAAGAGUGAGUGAAGGUAAUGGGUAAAGAAGCACCGGCUAACUACGUG